AUUGAACGCUGGCGGCAUGCCUUACACAUGCAAGUCGAACGGCAGCGCGGACUUCGGUCUGGCGGCGAGUGGCGAACGGGUGAGUAAUACAUCGGAACGUACCCUGUUGUGGGGGAUAACUAGUCGAAAGAUUAGCUAAUACCGCAUACGAACGGAGGGUGAAAGUAGGGGACGGCAAGGCCUCACGCAGCAGGAGCGGCCGAUGUCUGAUUAGCUAGUUGGUGGGGUAAAGGCCAACCAAGGCGACGAUCAGUAGCUGGUCUGAGAGGACGAUCAGCCACACUGGGACUGAGACACGGCCCAGACUCCUACGGGAGGCAGCAGUGGGGAAUUUUGGACAAUGGGGGCAACCCUGAUCCAGCAAUGCCGCGUGUGUGAAGAAGGCCUUCGGGUUGUAAAGCACUUUUGUCCGGAAAGAAAUCGCGCUGGUUAAUACCUGGCGUGGAUGACGGUACCGGAAGAAUAAGCACCGGCUAACUACGUGCCAGCCGCCGCCGUAA
RNAcentral lists this ribosomal RNA (500 nucleotides) under uncultured bacterium. RNAcentral describes it as "partial 16S ribosomal RNA". It matches the Rfam family "Bacterial small subunit ribosomal RNA", at positions 29 to 523 of the family's 1533-position model. The record is from RNAcentral.